Molecule: long non-coding RNA, 798 nt
Filed under: Canis lupus familiaris (dog)
Lineage: Eukaryota; Metazoa; Chordata; Mammalia; Carnivora; Canidae
Description: lncRNA (ENSCAFG00030004281.1)
Source: RNAcentral
AUGUUUAUUUCACUCACAGUUCAGGAAACCAUCACUAAGAGUAGUUUGGAUAAAAUUACAAAGCAUUUGGCUUGGUCUACAUCUUUUCAUUUCUUCCAGAUCUCGAGGGGGCACAGCACUGCAGAGGGGACCCCACCAAAGAUUAAUCGACUAUCAUUUGUUAAAAAAGAAGCCAUCCAAAGGGGGAAGCAUCCAGAAAAGAAAAUUUUGCAUUCAUCUCUUUAAGAUCUAAGGUGACACAGUAAGAAGAUGUAAAUUUUUAAGGGAUGAUGUUAAUUUCUCCCGAGUCACGUGUGAAGUGACCAGGGGAAGAAAUGCAAUCAAUCCACCCAGAAAUCGGAUCUGCAAUGGGACCUGGUCCUGGAAUGGAAAUACCACAGAAUCUGCUUAGAGCUAAGGUUUGGACAACAUCUAUUCUGCUAAGCACUGAGAUUUUUUUUUUUUUUUUAAGAGAGGAAAGGGGAGAAGGAUAAAGUAGAAUCUAAUUUUGAGAAAUAAGGAUUAAAGGUUCCAUUAUUCAUGCUGUUUUCACUGUAUAUAUUGAGUUAACAACGUGUGAUUUUACUGGAUGAAAAUGUGGGCCACAUGCAAGGAGAGUGUGGGACAGAUCAAUCCCCAUGGUGACAGUAAUGAGUGAGGGUUAGUGUCUUGUCGGCGUGAGGCUAUAAACAGUCCUGGGUUUUGAGCUGGUAUAAUAAGUGGAGAUUGUUCCUGGGCAUACUGGGGAGCACAGAUAGUUUCUGCCACAGGAAAAGCAACCCCCCACUCCCCCAGGCAGAGAGGCUCAGCACCGCUAUC